GACAGUCUGUUUCCAGUUUCCACAAGUGCACAUGCAUAAUCUUUGUCUUUAAGCCAACUGAGAGCUUCCCUUUAUACCCAUUAAUUCAGCCAUUUCUGGGUUCACUGUUCCCUGUCUAUAGCUUGCUUUUGCUUCUACUAGAUCACCUGCAUGGUCUCUCACUAUCAUGGAAUAGCCGUAUGUGUUAGAAUCUUCGAAUAAGGCUCCAUCAGUAUUUAUCUUAAUCAUACCUUCUUGUGGUCGCACCCAUUGCGCUUUACCAUUUGCCUGGGUCAUAAACCCAAGAUAAUUGUCAAUGAUUUAUCUUGGGCAUUUCUCCACUGAUUAAAAACGAAUUCUGCUGAUUGCACCAGUUCAAAAGGUUCUACACUUCUUUGAUUCCAUAUAAUGUCGUUUCUAUUCUGCCACAGUUUCCAGGAGAUCAUACAGAUUUAAGCUACUCCUAUAUCUCUGAAGUAUAAAGUCAUCCACUGCUUAAAAUCUCUCUGAGCUUCCCCACUGUUGGAUAAGUAAACUAACUCUUGGACUUAGAGGAAGAAUCUGGAACUCUGUUAUAUUCAGUGAAUUUAGGAAUAUGUGAGAACACAAUAAUUAUGAUUCAUAGAACUUGGAAGAUGUAUCUAUUUUGAUUCAUGUAUGAUGUUUUAUAUUCUCCUAUUAUAUAAAGGAGGAGAUUGUAUUGUUUUGAAUAAGAUUAAGAAUACAAAGAAUAUUUAGAAACACAGAUCCCUUCCUUGAUUCACUAUUCUAUUCUGCACCUAGUAUACUGAAAUUAUACUGAAAAACAAUCUACUGAAAGCACGGAAACAAGAUCAACAAGCUUUAUCAAUUAUACACAUGGGCUUAGAUGAAGCCAUGUUUGAAAAUAUUGCAUCUGCAACAAAAGCGAAGGAGGCCUGGGAGAUUCUGCAGAACAAUUUUAAAGGUGUUGACAAAGUAAGGUACGAUUACAAACCCUACGUGGUGAAUUUGAAGCAUUACACAUGAAAGAUACGGAAUCAGUCCCCGAUUACUUCACGAGAGUUUCCUCUGUUGUAAAUCAAAUGAAGAAUACAAAAUGAAAACUGAUCAAAUGAAAAGAUACUGAGAUCUUUGAAUACAAAAUUGCAACUUGUUGGAAUCUCUAUUGAAGAAUUAAAUGCUACGGAAACCAUGACAACUGAUCAACUAAUGGGAUUUUUGCAAGCAUAUUUAGAAAGAUUGUUAAAGAAGGAAGAGACAGAAUCUCAAGUGCUGAAAUCUAGUGUUUCUAUGGAAGAGAAGGAUAAGGUGUUAUACACACGAUACACUAGAGGAAGAGGACGUGGCCGUACAAAUCAGAAUUUCACUCGAGGCAGAGGACGUGGUCCUGGAAGCAACAGAUAUGAAGAAAAGGUGCAAACAAAUCAACAAAAUUGGCGCGGACAAGGACGUGGUCGCAGCAGAGGUGGAAGAUCAACCCAUGGCAGAGGUAGCAGAUCAAAUGAAUGUUACAAUUAUGGCAAAUUCGGACACUUUGCCAAAGACUGCUGGUUUAACAAGAAGGUAGAGGAGAAUGCAAAUUUGGUCGAAACGGAGGAGCAACAAAAUAAUGGUGUUUGCUAAUGGCCUACAAAGAUACUAUUCCAUAAGAGGAGGUUCUUGGUAUCUUGACAGUGGUGCCAUCAACCAAAUGUCAGGGCUUAAACAUCUAUUUACUGAUUUAAAAGAAGUAGAUUCUGGUUUUGUGUCUUUUGGAGAUGCCUCAAAGAUUGAAGUCAAAGGAAAGGGUGAAGUAUGCUUUCCUAGCAAGGAUGGCAGACAAGGAAGAAUUGAAGAUGUUUAUUAUGUUCCAGACAUGAAGAACAAUAUUCUUAGCCUCGGACAACUGGUUGAAAAAAGAUACUCAAUUUUUAUGGAAGAAAAAGCUAUGUUCUUGAAAGACAAAAGUGGCAGAACAAUAACUCGUGUAGGAAUGUCUCAAAAUCAGAUGUUCAAAUUAAACUUGAGAAAUAUACAGGAGACAUGUCUGCAAGUGAAGAUGGAAGACAAAGCAUUUUUAUGGCAUAGGCGAUUGGGACACUUACACUAUGGUGGUUUAAAGGAGCUGGCAAAUAAAGGAAUGGUUCAUGGAAUACCAAGUAUGGAUACAAGAAGUUUUUGUGAAGAAUGUGUGCUAGGAAAACAAACAAGAAAUUCAUUCCAGAAGAAGGCGAUAUAUCGUGCUCCAAAGCCUCUCGAGUUAGUAUAUACAGAUAUUUGUGGUCCUAUCACACCCAUGUCAUACAGUUGUAAAAGGUAUUUCAUUACCUUUAUUGAUGAGUAUUCUCGAAGGACAUGGAUUUAUUUCUUGAAGGAAAAAUCUGAGGCCUUAAAAGUAUUCAAAAAAUUCAAAGUGUUGGUGGAGAAAAAGACUGGAAUGCAUAUCAAGGCAUUGCGUUCAGAUAGAGGAGAAGAAUAUACAUCAAAUGCUUUCACGGAAUACUGUGAAGAACAGGGCAUUAGAAGAUUCUUAACAACUCCAUAUUCACCACAACCGAAUGGUGUGGCUGAGAGAAAAAAUCAGACUAUUCUGGACAUGGUUCGAGCGAUGUUAAAAAGCAAGGAACUACCAAAAGAAUUCUGGGCAGAAGCUGUGCAGUGUGCUGUCUAUAUUCAGAAUCGUUGUCCACAUUCAAACUUGGGAAAUAAAACACCUCAAGAAUUAUGGAGUGGAAGGAAGCCCACUGUAUCACACCUAAAGAUUUUCGGGAGUGUGGCAUAUUCACAUAUACCAGAUCAAAGAAGAACAAAGUUGGAUGACAAGAGCAAGAAGUACAUUUUCAUCGGAUAUGAUGAGAAAACAAAAGCUUACAGGCUUCUAGACCCGGUUACUAUGAAGGUAGAUGUAAGUCGGGAUGUUCAAAUACAAGAAGAUGAUGCAUGGCACUGGAGUAGUAAAGCACCAGAAGCGGAAACACAAGAAGGUGUAUUUCCAAUUUCUAAAAUCUCACCUGCAAAUAUUGAUGCACCAGAAGAUGAUGAAGUAAAUGAGGAUGAGCCCCAGAAUCUUAGAAUACGAAGUUUGCAAGACUUAUAUCAAACAGCAGAUGAGGUGCAUCUGGUGUGUUUGGUGGCAGAUGCAGAGAAUGUUAAUUUUGAAGAAGCAGUGAAAGACAAGAAGUGGAGGGAUGCAAUGGAUGAAGAAAUCAAAGCAAUUGAAAAGAACAAAACUUGGAAGCUAGUGGAACCUCCAGAAGGUUGUAAGCCUAUCGAUGUUAAAUGGGUUUACAAAAAGAAGGUGAAUGCUCAAGGCCAAAUAGAAAGAUAUAAAGUGCGGUAAGUUGCAAAGGGCUACCGACAAUAGGCUGGAAUAGACUAUGAUGAAGUUUUUGCACCCGUGGGCCGAAUGGAGACAAUAAGACUUCUGAUCUCUCAAGCAGCUCAAUGUGGGUGGCCUAUUUACCAGAUGGACGUAAAGUCUGCUUUUUUAAAUGGCAUGCUCGAAGAAGAAAUGUACGUGAGCCAACCUCCUGGAUAUGAAAAGGCUGGAAAAGAAAGCAUGGUGUUAAAAUUGUAUAAGGCAUUAUAUGGUUUAAAACAGGCGCCUCGAGCAUGGAAUACCCGUAUAGACACCUAUUUCAAGAAGAAUGGAUUCAUACAAUGUUCUUAUGAGCCUGCUGUAUAUGUCAAAGAAAAGGAAGGUAAUAUAUUACUUGUUGCACUUUACGUGGAUGAUCUUAUUUUUAUGGGCAACAAUGAGGAGAUGAUUACAAAUUUUAAAAAGGAGAUGACUCAAGAAUUUGAGAUGCCUGACUUGGGCUUGAUGAGAUUCUUUCUUGGCAUUGAGGUGAAGCAAGACAAGUCAGGUAUUUUUAUUUCUCAAGAAGCAUAUGCAAACAAUAUUCUCAAGAAAUUUCGAAUGGAACACUGCAAUCCAGUAGCAACACCAAUGGAACUGGGCACAAAGCUUUCUAAAUUUGAGGGAGGAAAUUCAGUAGAAGCAAAUUUAUAUCAGAGUUUGGUUGGGAGCUUGAGAUAUCUUACAUGCACAAGACCUGACAUCGCAUAUAGUGUUGGGGUAGUAAGCAGAUUCAUGGAAGCUCCAAAACAAUCACAUUGGAAAGCAAUCAAAAGGAUUCUGCGGUAUAUUCAAGGAACAAAAUCACUAGGAUUGUUCUAUUCUAGAACAACAGACUACAAACUGUUGGGAUAUUCUGAUAGUGAUUGGUGUGGAGAUGUGGAUGAUCGUAAAAGCACGUCUGGAUACUUGUUUUUUAUGGGAGACACAUCAUUUACGUGGUAUUCUAAGAAGCAGCCUAUAGUUUCAUUGUCAACUUGUGUGGCGGAAUAUAUAGCAGCUUCUUAUUGUGUUUGUCAUGCUAUAUGGUUAAGAAGGUUACUCAGGGAAUUAAGGAUCCCACAACAAGGAUCUACAGAAAUAAGAAUUGAUAACAAAUCUGCAAUUGAGCUUGCUAAGAAUCCAGUACAUCAUGAAAGGAGCAAACAUAUUGAUGUUAGAUUCCAUUUUAUCCGGGAACAUGUGAAGGAAAAGAAUGUCCAGUUGCGUCAUGUUGUUAGUCAUGACCAGAUAGCAGAUGUGCUCACCAAACCACUGUCCAAACCUAUGCUUGAUACAUACAAAAGGCUGAUGGGAAUGAAGGAUCGGAAAGAGUUAGUUUAAGGGAGGAAUAUGUUGGAUAAGUAAACUAACUCUUGGACUUAGAGGAAGAAUCUGGAACUCUGUUAUAUUCAGUGAAUUUAGGAAUAUGUGAGAACACAAUAAUUAUGAUUCAUAGAACUUGGAAGAUGUAUCUAUUUAGAUUCAUGUAUGAUGUUUUAUAUUCUCCUAUUAUAUAAAGGAGAAGAUUGUAUUGUAUUGAAUAAGAUUAAGAAUACAAAGAAUAUUUAGAAACACAGAAACCCUUCCUUGAUUCACUAUUCUAUUCUGCACCUAGUAUACUGAAAUUAUACCUAAAUUCCAUACACAAACUCAACACCCACUACCACCUUCAACAUUCUUGUGUUCCAAACAUUUGACACCAUACGGACAUGAUACCAGACUGUGAUAAAUUGUUUCUCGGUCUUCAUUGCACACUGGACAUGGGGUUGACUACUACUUUUCUAAUUUGCAAUUGUUCCUUCGUUGGUAAACAAUUCCUUACUGCUCUCCAGAUAAAGAUUUUCGUUUUCUGAGGGAUUUUGAGGUUCCAUAAAACUCGCCAGAGAAGCCCGAAUGAUCACUUAGAUCAUGCUCUUCUCUAUCAUCUUGCAAUGCUUUUGCAUGCACUUCUGACUAAGUCAUGGAUUAACAGAAUUUAUGAGUAUGAAAUAAUAUGACGAGAGGAACAAACCAAAAAUAUUAAAAGCAUAGAAAUAAAAAUUAAAAGAAUAUCGGGAGAUUUGUUGGUCCAUAAUGGUAAAAGCAUAGAAAUAGAAAUUAAAAGAAUAUCAAUGGCCUCAGCCCUGAUGCCAUUUUAAGAAAUGAUUCUACGAGCAUUCCACUUCAUAAUGAAAACGAAGAAAUCCUUGACUACAACAACUUAGCGGGUGCUAGGUGUAGUGGUUGUUUGUUCAUCCUUGUCGUUGUUCCUCCAAUAAAUACCUUUUACUUAUUUUUUUUUUUCAAUCUAUAUAUGUUAAAAAAUAAAAUUUUAAAAAUUAAACAUGAAAGUGUUAAAAGGUGAGAAGAAGAGAAAAAUUAAAAAAUACGAUAGAGUAAAGAGUAGUAGUCAGCAUUAUUAAAUCAUAUGAGCUGGUAACCACUCCAAAGAUGUAUUAAAUAGACCUUAACUUGUGCCCUCACAGGAUAGACCGCCCGUAUAAUUAAUCAUUUACCUUGAAGAUGCUCCUCGAAGUUUUAUAGCAUCUUCAUCCAAAUCUUCAAAAUCUAUUAAAUUUUGGCUCCUGAUAACAUAUAAGAAUACGCAAACAUGGCCUAUAAUUAGGGCUGAAUGAACAUAUAAAGCUAUACAAUAACUACAAAAAUAUGUACAAAUACAUACAGGGACAAUUCAAGUUUAGUGAUGAUAACAGGGGCAUUACUCGUGAAGGCAGUCAGGACCUAGAGAAAAAACUGUGGGUCGCUUUGGUGUUGUUUCAACGCAUAAACCCUAUUUAGAGUGUCAUCCACAACACCCUGUAUGUGGGAAAAAGUAAGAUUCGGCAAUUACUAAUGAAACAAUAAGCAAACACAAUCACAAGUACACAUGAAUUAAGUUAUAGGCUAAGUAAAUAAAAUGGAUCAAAUUUAAUGAUUACACGAACAAAAGAAAAAUAUUAAAAUCAACGAAAAAAAGAAUAAUAUUAAAAUCACAUAAACUAAAAAAGUUACAGAGAAAGAGCUGUAUUUCUUGUGCUGUUACCAUAUGUCGAGCAAGGUCGAUUUGAGCCAGGAUUGCGUUGGGAGAAGAAGACGAAGCCAUUGAUAAACCUAUAGAUUUGAAGUUGUGAAACAAACAGUAAACAAAAUCGUACAUUAAUCAUAAACAAGAUCGAAAGAUGCUUGAAAACUGACCUCAAAUCUUAAUGGCUAGAAAAUGCCCAAACAAAUGUAUUAAAAUUUUAGUAAAUACUAAUACAGUUCACUUUUGCUAUAAGCAGUUUGAUGACAUUAUAGUCAAGACGCGAAUGAGCUCAGUACUUUUUUUGAAUGUAACUGCUUUUGUCUGUAUUCCUUCGUUACUUUUAACUAUUAGAUUUAAUAAAUAUUUUUUUUGUUAAUAUUUCUUUAGACUCUCUUCAUUUUUAUAAAAAAAAAUUUAUCAUGUACCUAAACAAAAAAUUUGUAAAAUAUGUGUUACAAUAUUUGAAAUAUAUUUCAAAAAACCAAUAAGAGAGUGAGAAUAAAAUUAAAAUUAGAUUUAUUCUUGAGUUAGAUGUUAGAAUAAUAUGGUAUAAAUAUUUCUUUUAGUGCUGAGAUCGAUUAAAGAAACGAAGCAUCAAAUUAAAAACAAAAAUAUAAAUAAUAUUAUCCUAAGCAAUUUGAACAAAUUAUAUUUAAUAUAUGUGUGACUUUAAGUACUUGCUGGGUCACAGCUGUAUUGCAUCUAAUAUUGAUGUCUUGUUUAUUUAUCGUCUCAAUGACAUUAAUAGGGUGGUUUGGAUGAUUGCAUAAUGUAAGUGCUUUGUUUUGAACUUAACAAUUUGAUUUUUUUUUAAUUAGUUUCACUUUGACUUGUUUAUUUUUACUUUUAUUUAAACAAUAUAACUAUCAUUCUUAGUUAUUUUUUUUAAAAAUCAUGUUAUGUAAAUUUAUUUAAUAUUGUAAAAUUAUAAAAUUAUAAUUCUUUAUCUUAAUUCUGAAAUAAUUGUUAUUUUAUUAAUAUGUUCAUAAUGUAAAUAAUAAAAAUUAUAAUAAAAACUAGUAUUAAAACUUCAAAUCAUCCAACAUUACAUAAUAAAAGAUGGGAGCCGUAUCACCACCUACGUUCAGCUAAGAGUUUCUAACGCUUCACAAAAUUUAAAGUAACAUUACAAUGUUUUAAUGAAAGUAAUAAAGAUUUGCAUUCACUGGUCACUCUUCCUAGGUAUGAAAGAGUUGCUGUUGAGCUCCUGAUUGCCUGAACCAUGGCCAGACAGUCUGUUUCCAGUUUCCACAAUUGCACCUGCAUAAUCUCUGUCUUUAAGCCAACUGAGAGCAUCCCUUAUACCAUUAAUUCAGGCAUUUCCAGGUUCACUGUUCCCUGUCAACAACUUGCUUUUGCUUCUACUGGAUCACCUGCAUGGUUUCUCACUAUCAUGGAAUAGCUGUAUGUGUUAGAAUCUUUGAAUAAGGCUCCAUCAGUAUUUAUCAUAAUCAUACCUUCCGGUGGUCGCUCCCAUUGCGCUUUACCAUCUGCCUGGGUCAUAAACCCAAGAUAAUUGUCAAAUGAUUUAUCUUGGGCAUUUCUCCACUGAUUAAAAACGAGUUCUGCUGAUUGCACCAGUUCAAAAGGUUCUACACUUCUUUGAUUCCAUAUAAUGUCGUUUCUAUUC
Molecule: long non-coding RNA, 7914 nt
Filed under: Daucus carota (carrot)
Lineage: Eukaryota; Viridiplantae; Streptophyta; Magnoliopsida; Apiales; Apiaceae
Description: long non-coding RNA (DCAR_LNC007319)
Source: RNAcentral